AUUUAUGUAGUUUAAUAAAAACAUUACACUUUCAUUGUAAAAAUAAAGAACAAUUUCAUAAAUU
This 64-nucleotide transfer RNA is filed under the name Balta jinlinorum. RNAcentral describes it as "tRNA-Glu". It matches the Rfam family "tRNA". From Rfam's summary of the family: Transfer RNA (tRNA) molecules are approximately 80 nucleotides in length. Their secondary structure includes four short double-helical elements and three loops (D, anti-codon, and T loops). The record is from RNAcentral. Lineage: Eukaryota; Metazoa; Arthropoda; Insecta; Blattodea; Pseudophyllodromiidae.